AAACUUGGGAAAAGCUUCGUUAGAUCCCCUCCGUUAUCCUUCUUUCUCUCUCUCGCUCUCUCUCUUUCUCCUUUUCUUUUUUCUUUUCCUUUCUUCUCCACAGACCUCACCUCCCACCAAACCCUCUCUCCUCCACAGCAUGCCCACCUCCCACUUCGCCCACUCGCCCCCUCGCCGCAGUUUUCGCCUGCCCGCUUGCUCUCUCACUUUCUCUCUUUCUUCUUUUUCUUUUUAUUUUUCCUUUCUUCUUCACAGAGCUUACCACCAAACCCUCCCUCCUCUACACCCCGCCCACCUCCCAUCUCGCCCACCUCGCCGAUUCGCCCCCUCGCCUGCUCGCUCGCUUGUUGGCUCACUUACCCCCUCGCCUACUUCUCAGGUUUGAUU
This 387-nucleotide long non-coding RNA is filed under the name Ananas comosus (pineapple). RNAcentral describes it as "long non-coding RNA (ACOM_LNC024444)". Lineage: Eukaryota; Viridiplantae; Streptophyta; Magnoliopsida; Poales; Bromeliaceae. The record is from RNAcentral.